GCGGGUUUAGCUCAGUGGUAGAGCAUUGGAUUGCAAAUCCUGGGGUCGCUGGUUCAAUCCCGGCAGCCCGCU
This 72-nucleotide transfer RNA is filed under the name Bacteroidales bacterium. Its description in RNAcentral is "tRNA-Cys". It matches the Rfam family "tRNA". From Rfam's summary of the family: Transfer RNA (tRNA) molecules are approximately 80 nucleotides in length. Their secondary structure includes four short double-helical elements and three loops (D, anti-codon, and T loops). Further hydrogen bonds mediate the characteristic L-shaped molecular structure. tRNAs have two regions of fundamental functional importance: the anti-codon, which is responsible for specific mRNA codon recognition, and the 3' end, to which the tRNAs corresponding amino acid is attached (by aminoacyl-tRNA synthetases). tRNAs cope with the degeneracy of the genetic code in two manners: having more than one tRNA (with a specific anti-codon) for a particular amino acid; and 'wobble' base-pairing, i.e. permitting non-standard base-pairing at the 3rd anti-codon position. Lineage: Bacteria; Pseudomonadati; Bacteroidota; Bacteroidia; Bacteroidales. The record is from RNAcentral.